This 1521-nucleotide ribosomal RNA is filed under the name metagenome. RNAcentral's name for it is "bacterial SSU rRNA". It matches the Rfam family "Bacterial small subunit ribosomal RNA". The record is from RNAcentral.
AGAGUUUGAUCAUGGCUCAGAUUGAACGCUGGCGGCAGGCCUAACACAUGCAAGUCGAACGGUAACAGGAAGCAGCUUGCUGCUUCGCUGACGAGUGGCGGACGGGUGAGUAAUGUCUGGGAAGCUGCCUGAUGGAGGGGGAUAACUACUGGAAACGGUAGCUAAUACCGCAUAAUGUCGCAAGACCAAAGAGGGGGACCUUCGGGCCUCUUGCCAUCGGAUGUGCCCAGAUGGGAUUAGCUUGUUGGUGGGGUAACGGCUCACCAAGGCGACGAUCCCUAGCUGGUCUGAGAGGAUGACCAGCCACACUGGAACUGAGACACGGUCCAGACUCCUACGGGAGGCAGCAGUGGGGAAUAUUGCACAAUGGGCGCAAGCCUGAUGCAGCCAUGCCGCGUGUAUGAAGAAGGCCUUCGGGUUGUAAAGUACUUUCAGCGGGGAGGAAGGGAGUAAAGUUAAUACCUUUGCUCAUUGACGUUACCCGCAGAAGAAGCACCGGCUAACUCCGUGCCAGCAGCCGCGGUAAUACGGAGGGUGCAAGCGUUAAUCGGAAUUACUGGGCGUAAAGCGCACGCAGGCGGUUUGUUAAGUCAGAUGUGAAAUCCCCGGGCUCAACCUGGGAACUGCAUCUGAUACUGGCAAGCUGAGUCUCGUAGAGGGGGGUAGAAUUCCAGGUGUAGCGGUGAAAUGCGUAGAGAUCUGGAGGAAUACCGGUGGCGAAGGCGGCCCCCUGGACGAAGACUGACGCUCAGGUGCGAAAGCGUGGGGAGCAAACAGGAUUAGAUACCCUGGUAGUCCACGCCGUAAACGAUGUCGACUUGGAGGUUGUGCCCUUGAGGCGUGGCUUCCGGAGCUAACGCGUUAAGUCGACCGCCUGGGGAGUACGGCCGCAAGGUUAAAACUCAAAUGAAUUGACGGGGGCCCGCACAAGCGGUGGAGCAUGUGGUUUAAUUCGAUGCAACGCGAAGAACCUUACCUGGUCUUGACAUCCACGGAAGUUUUCAGAGAUGAGAAUGUGCCUUCGGGAACCGUGAGACAGGUGCUGCAUGGCUGUCGUCAGCUCGUGUUGUGAAAUGUUGGGUUAAGUCCCGCAACGAGCGCAACCCUUAUCCUUUGUUGCCAGCGGUCCGGCCGGGAACUCAAAGGAGACUGCCAGUGAUAAACUGGAGGAAGGUGGGGAUGACGUCAAGUCAUCAUGGCCCUUACGACCAGGGCUACACACGUGCUACAAUGGCGCAUACAAAGAGAAGCGACCUCGCGAGAGCAAGCGGACCUCAUAAAGUGCGUCGUAGUCCGGAUUGGAGUCUGCAACUCGACUCCAUGAAGUCGGAAUCGCUAGUAAUCGUGGAUCAGAAUGCCACGGUGAAUACGUUCCCGGGCCUUGUACACACCGCCCGUCACACCAUGGGAGUGGGUUGCAAAAGAAGUAGGUAGCUUAACCUUCGGGAGGGCGCUUACCACUUUGUGAUUCAUGACUGGGGUGAAGUCGUAACAAGGUAACCGUAGGGGAACCUGCGGUUG